RNAcentral lists this ribosomal RNA (497 nucleotides) under uncultured bacterium. Its description in RNAcentral is "partial 16S ribosomal RNA". It matches the Rfam family "Bacterial small subunit ribosomal RNA", at positions 28 to 507 of the family's 1533-position model. The record is from RNAcentral.
GAUGAACGCUGGCGGCGUGCCUAAUACAUGCAAGUCGAGCGAACGGACGAGAAGCUUGCUUAUCUGAUGUUAGCGGCGGACGGGUGAGUAACACGUGGAUAACCUACCUAUAAGACUGGGAUAACUUCGGGAAACCGGAGCUAAUACCGGUUAAUAUUUUGAACCGCAUGGUUCAAAAGUGAAAGACGGUCUUGCUGUCACUUAUAGAUGGAUCCGCGCUGCAUUAGCUAGUUGGUAAGGUAACGGCUUACCAAGGCAACGAUGCAUAGCCGACCUGAGAGGGUGAUCGGCCACACUGGAACUGAGACACGGUCCAGACUCCUACGGGAGGCAGCAGUAGGGAAUCUUCCGCAAUGGGCGAAAGCCUGACGGAGCAACGCCGCGUGAGUGAUGAAGGUCUUCGGAUCGUAAAACUCUGUUAUUAGGGAAGAACAUAUGUGUAAGUAACUGUGCACAUCUUGACGGUACCUAAUCAGAAAGCCACGGCUAACUACGUG